This 72-nucleotide transfer RNA is filed under the name Marmota monax (woodchuck). RNAcentral's name for it is "tRNA.Ala". Lineage: Eukaryota; Metazoa; Chordata; Mammalia; Rodentia; Sciuridae. The record is from RNAcentral.
GAAGGUGUAGCUCAGUGGUAGAAUGUGCUCUUAGCAUGUGAAAGGCUCUGGAUUGAAUCCCCAGCAUCUAAA